Long non-coding RNA from Mauremys mutica (yellowpond turtle), 350 nucleotides. RefSeq lists it as uncharacterized. The record is from RefSeq and is a predicted model, not a curated record. The transcript is spliced from 3 exons. Lineage: Eukaryota; Metazoa; Chordata; Testudines; Geoemydidae.
ACAUAUCACGAAGUUCAUGAUCCAUGUGACACUGGAAGAACACAAGUUAUGGAGAGAUCCUUUUAAGACUGCCACAAUAAUUAGCCUAUUGUCCAAAACUCAAACAAGUGAUGUUCUAUUUCAUCACAGUGAAGCAUGGCUAGAUUGAGCCGUAAAUUAGCAACAAGUGUUGAAAGGUUGCAUAGUAAAUGAUACAUCUAAUGCCUAAAAUUAGGGAUAAGCUGACCAGAAGGGGUGAGGAGGAGAAGAAGAAAAGAAAGAAAAUUGCAGCUGACCACAUCUGUGUUCUCACUCCAUAAUUUAAUUAUAGGAAGAUGGUGGACGCAGGUUGUGUUUGGCUCAUGGAACAC